GUGCCUGUUUUGGCAGCACAUUUAGUAAAACUGGAACAAUACAGAGAAGAUUAGCAUGGCCCCUGCACAAGGAUGGCACACAAACUUAUGAAGUGUUCCAUGUUUUG
Molecule: small nuclear RNA, 107 nt
Filed under: Propithecus coquereli (Coquerel's sifaka)
Lineage: Eukaryota; Metazoa; Chordata; Mammalia; Primates; Indriidae
Source: RNAcentral